Non-coding RNA from Oryctolagus cuniculus (rabbit), 419 nucleotides. NCBI's taxonomy places the organism in Eukaryota, Metazoa, Chordata, Mammalia, Lagomorpha, Leporidae. The record is from RefSeq and is a predicted model, not a curated record.
CUGUGUGCUCGGAUCACAGAUGUCUCGAUGUCGAUGGGGUGGUAGCGCAUACCUCUCAGCUCCAGCGUUUCAUCCAGAGACCCAACCACAUACAGCGCAUCGUGUGGCUCUGUGGACGGCACACGUGUGCACACUCAGGUACAUCGUGUGGCUCUGUGGACGGCACACGUGUGCACACUCAGGUGCAUCGUGUGGCUCUGUGGACGGCACACGUGUGCACACUCAGGUGCAUCGUGUGGCUCUGUGGACGGCACACGUGUGCACACUCAGGUAGCGCCCGCGUGAACACCCAGCCAUCUGCCAUGUGAGCCCCACUGGGCGCUCUCUGAUAUGGGCAGCUUGACUCAAAUACCACGUGUUACCUGUGUCCCAUGCAGACAGCUCAGCCUGUGGCAAAGUUGCGGCCACACAUGAACACA